AGAGUUUGAUCCUGGCUCAGGAUUAACGCUGGCGGCAUGCCUAAUACAUGCAAGUCGAACGAAAUUUCUUUUUUAAGAAAUUGAGUGGCGAACGGGUGAGUAAUGUAUGUUCAAUCUGCCUCAAAGUGGGGAAUAACUGUUGGAAACGACAGCUAAUACCCCAUAGGGUAAUACAAGGCAUCUUGUAUUGCUUAAAGGUGCAUUUUGCAUCGCUAUGAGAUGAGAACAUAUCACAUUAGCUUGUUGGUGGGGUAAUGGCCCACCAAGGCAAUGAUGUGUAGCCGGACUGAGAGGUUGAACGGCCACAAUGGGACUGAGACACGGCCCAUACUCCUACGGGAGGCAGCAGUAGGGAAUUUUUCACAAUGGACGAAAGUCUGAUGAAGCAAUGCCGCGUGAAGGAAGAAGGUUUUCGAAUCGUAAACUUCUGUUAUAAGGGAAGAAAAUCUAAAAUAGGAAAUGAUUUUAGCUUGACGGUACUUUAUUAGAAAGUCACGGCAAACUAUGUGCCAGCAGCCGCGGUAAUACAUAGGUGGCGAGCGUUAUCCGGAUUUAUUGGGCGUAAAGAGUGCACAGGUUGUUUAUUAAGUCAAUUGUUAAAUACCGAAGCUUAACUUCGGUCCGCAGUUGAAACUAGUAAACUAGAAUGCAGGUGGGGACAGUGGAAUUCCAUGUGUAGCGGUGGAAUGCAUAAAUAUAUGGAGGAACACCAGUGGCGAAGGCGGCUGUCUGAACUGUAAUUGACACUUAAGCACGAAAGCGUGGGGAGCAAAUAGGAUUAGAUACCCUAGUAGUCCACGCUGUAAACGAUCUAGACUAGUUGCUGCCAAAAAGGCAGUAACGCAGCUAACGCAUUAAGUCUAGCGCCUGGGUAGUAUGCACGCAAGUGUGAAACUCAAAGGAAUUGACGGGGACCCGCACAAGUGGUGGAGCAUGUGGUUUAAUUCGAUGAUACGCGAAGAACCUUACCUACGUUUGACAUACUUGGCAAAACUAUAGAGAUAUAGUGGAGGUUAACCAAUGUACAGGUGGUGCAUGGUUGUCGUCAGCUCGUGUCGUGAGAUGUUCGGUUAAGUCCGGUAACGAGCGCAACCCCUUUCUUAUGUUACUAACAAGUAAUGUUGAGGACUCAUGAGAUACUGCCUGGGUAACCAGGAGGAAGGUGGGGAUGACGUCAAAUCAUCAUGCCCCUUAUACGUAGGGCUACACACGUGCUACAAUGGCUGUUACAAAGGGCUGCCAAACCGUAAGGUGGAGCCAAUCUCAAAAAAACAGUCUCAGUUCGGAUUGAAGUCUGCAAUUUGACUUUAUGAAGCUGGAAUCACUAGUAAUCGCAGGUCAGCAAUACUGCGGUGAAUACGUUCUCGGGUCUUGUACACACCGCCCGUCAAACCACGAAAGUCGGUAAUGCCUGAAACCGCUGUUCUAACCUUUAAUGAAAUUCGUUUCUUUAGAGGAGGAAGGCGUCUAGGGUAGGAUUGGUGAUUGGGGUUAAGUCGUAACAAGGUAACCGUA
RNAcentral lists this ribosomal RNA (1515 nucleotides) under Hepatoplasma crinochetorum (SeqCode). Its description in RNAcentral is "bacterial SSU rRNA". It matches the Rfam family "Bacterial small subunit ribosomal RNA". The record is from RNAcentral. Lineage: Bacteria; Bacillati; Mycoplasmatota; Mollicutes; Mycoplasmatales; Hepatoplasmataceae (SeqCode).